Molecule: ribosomal RNA, 497 nt
Filed under: uncultured bacterium
Lineage: Bacteria
Description: partial 16S ribosomal RNA
Rfam family: Bacterial small subunit ribosomal RNA
Source: RNAcentral
GAUGAACGCUGGCGGCGUGCCUAAUACAUGCAAGUCGAGCGAACGGACGAGAAGCUUGCUUCUCUGAUGUUAGCGGCGGACGGGUGAGUAACACGUGGAUAACCUACCUAUAAGACUGGGAUAACUUCGGGAAACCGGAGCUAAUACCGGAUAAUAUUUUGAACCGCAUGGUUCAAAAGUGAAAGACGGUCUUGCUGUCACUUAUAGAUGGAUCCGCGCUGCAUUAGCUAGUUGGUAAGGUAACGGCUUACCAAGGCGACGAUGCAUAGCCGACCUGAGAGGAUGAUCGGCCACACUGGAACUGAGACACGGUCCAGACUCCUACGGGAGGCAGCAGUAGGGAAUCUUCCGCAAUGGGCGAAAGCCUGACGGAGCAACGCCGCGUGAGUGAUGAAGGUCUUCGGAUCGUAAAACUCUGUUAUUAGGGAAGAACAUAUGUGUAAGUAACUGUGCACAUCUUGACGGUACCUAAUCAGAAAGCCACGGCUAACUACGUG